RNAcentral lists this ribosomal RNA (2795 nucleotides) under Escherichia coli. Its description in RNAcentral is "partial 23S ribosomal RNA". It matches the Rfam family "Bacterial large subunit ribosomal RNA". The record is from RNAcentral. Lineage: Bacteria; Pseudomonadati; Pseudomonadota; Gammaproteobacteria; Enterobacterales; Enterobacteriaceae.
GGUUAAGCGACUAAGCGUACACGGUGGAUGCCCUGGCAGUCAGAGGCGAUGAAGGACGUGCUAAUCUGCGAUAAGCGUCGGUAAGGUGAUAUGAACCGUUAUAACCGGCGAUUUCCGAAUGGGGAAACCCAGUGUGUUUCGACACACUAUCAUUAACUGAAUCCAUAGGUUAAUGAGGCGAACCGGGGGAACUGAAACAUCUAAGUACCCCGAGGAAAAGAAAUCAACCGAGAUUCCCCCAGUAGCGGCGAGCGAACGGGGAGCAGCCCAGAGCCUGAAUCAGUGUGUGUGUUAGUGGAAGCGUCUGGAAAGGCGCGCGAUACAGGGUGACAGCCCCGUACACAAAAAUGCACAUGCUGUGAGCUCGAUGAGUAGGGCGGGACACGUGGUAUCCUGUCUGAAUAUGGGGGGACCAUCCUCCAAGGCUAAAUACUCCUGACUGACCGAUAGUGAACCAGUACCGUGAGGGAAAGGCGAAAAGAACCCCGGCGAGGGGAGUGAAAAAGAACCUGAAACCGUGUACGUACAAGCAGUGGGAGCACGCUUAGGCGUGUGACUGCGUACCUUUUGUAUAAUGGGUCAGCGACUUAUAUUCUGUAGCAAGGUUAACCGAAUAGGGGAGCCGAAGGGAAACCGAGUCUUAACUGGGCGUUAAGUUGCAGGGUAUAGACCCGAAACCCGGUGAUCUAGCCAUGGGCAGGUUGAAGGUUGGGUAACACUAACUGGAGGACCGAACCGACUAAUGUUGAAAAAUUAGCGGAUGACUUGUGGCUGGGGGUGAAAGGCCAAUCAAACCGGGAGAUAGCUGGUUCUCCCCGAAAGCUAUUUAGGUAGCGCCUCGUGAAUUCAUCUCCGGGGGUAGAGCACUGUUUCGGCAAGGGGGUCAUCCCGACUUACCAACCCGAUGCAAACUGCGAAUACCGGAGAAUGUUAUCACGGGAGACACACGGCGGGUGCUAACGUCCGUCGUGAAGAGGGAAACAACCCAGACCGCCAGCUAAGGUCCCAAAGUCAUGGUUAAGUGGGAAACGAUGUGGGAAGGCCCAGACAGCCAGGAUGUUGGCUUAGAAGCAGCCAUCAUUUAAAGAAAGCGUAAUAGCUCACUGGUCGAGUCGGCCUGCGCGGAAGAUGUAACGGGGCUAAACCAUGCACCGAAGCUGCGGCAGCGACGCUUAUGCGUUGUUGGGUAGGGGAGCGUUCUGUAAGCCUGUGAAGGUGUGCUGUGAGGUAUGCUGGAGGUAUCAGAAGUGCGAAUGCUGACAUAAGUAACGAUAAAGCGGGUGAAAAGCCCGCUCGCCGGAAGACCAAGGGUUCCUGUCCAACGUUAAUCGGGGCAGGGUGAGUCGACCCCUAAGGCGAGGCCGAAAGGCGUAGUCGAUGGGAAACAGGUUAAUAUUCCUGUACUUGGUGUUACUGCGAAGGGGGGACGGAGAAGGCUAUGUUGGCCGGGCGACGGUUGUCCCGGUUUAAGCGUGUAGGCUGGUUUUCCAGGCAAAUCCGGAAAAUCAAGGCUGAGGCGUGAUGACGAGGCACUACGGUGCUGAAGCAACAAAUGCCCUGCUUCCAGGAAAAGCCUCUAAGCAUCAGGUAACAUCAAAUCGUACCCCAAACCGACACAGGUGGUCAGGUAGAGAAUACCAAGGCGCUUGAGAGAACUCGGGUGAAGGAACUAGGCAAAAUGGUGCCGUAACUUCGGGAGAAGGCACGCUGAUAUGUAGGUGAAGUCCCUCGCGGAUGGAGCUGAAAUCAGUCGAAGAUACCAGCUGGCUGCAACUGUUUAUUAAAAACACAGCACUGUGCAAACACGAAAGUGGACGUAUACGGUGUGACGCCUGCCCGGUGCCGGAAGGUUAAUUGAUGGGGUUAGCGGUAACGCGAAGCUCUUGAUCGAAGCCCCGGUAAACGGCGGCCGUAACUAUAACGGUCCUAAGGUAGCGAAAUUCCUUGUCGGGUAAGUUCCGACCUGCACGAAUGGCGUAAUGAUGGCCAGGCUGUCUCCACCCGAGACUCAGUGAAAUUGAACUCGCUGUGAAGAUGCAGUGUACCCGCGGCAAGACGGAAAGACCCCGUGAACCUUUACUAUAGCUUGACACUGAACAUUGAGCCUUGAUGUGUAGGAUAGGUGGGAGGCUUUGAAGUGUGGACGCCAGUCUGCAUGGAGCCGACCUUGAAAUACCACCCUUUAAUGUUUGAUGUUCUAACGUUGACCCGUGAUCCGGGUUGCGGACAGUGUCUGGUGGGUAGUUUGACUGGGGCGGUCUCCUCCUAAAGAGUAACGGAGGAGCACGAAGGUUGGCUAAUCCUGGUCGGACAUCAGGAGGUUAGUGCAAUGGCAUAAGCCAGCUUGACUGCGAGCGUGACGGCGCGAGCAGGUGCGAAAGCAGGUCAUAGUGAUCCGGUGGUUCUGAAUGGAAGGGCCAUCGCUCAACGGAUAAAAGGUACUCCGGGGAUAACAGGCUGAUACCGCCCAAGAGUUCAUAUCGACGGCGGUGUUUGGCACCUCGAUGUCGGCUCAUCACAUCCUGGGGCUGAAGUAGGUCCCAAGGGUAUGGCUGUUCGCCAUUUAAAGUGGUACGCGAGCUGGGUUUAGAACGUCGUGAGACAGUUCGGUCCCUAUCUGCCGUGGGCGCUGGAGAACUGAGGGGGGCUGCUCCUAGUACGAGAGGACCGGAGUGGACGCAUCACUGGUGUUCGGGUUGUCAUGCCAAUGGCACUGCCCGGUAGCUAAAUGCGGAAGAGAUAAGUGCUGAAAGCAUCUAAGCACGAAACUUGCCCCGAGAUGAGUUCUCCCUGAC